UCCUACGGGAGGCAGCAGUGAGGAAUAUUGGUCAAUGGGCGAGAGCCUGAACCAGCCAAGUAGCGUGCAGGAUGACUGCCCUAUGGGUUGUAAACUGCUUUUAUAGGGGAAUAAAGUGAGGCACGUGUGCCUUUUUGUAUGUACCCUAUGAAUAAGGACCGGCUAAUUCCGUGCCAGCAGCCGCGGUAAUACGGAAGGUCCGGGCGUUAUCCGGAUUUAUUGGGUUUAAAGGGAGCGCAGGCUGGAGGUUAAGCGUGACGUGAAAUGUAGCCGCUCAACGGCUGAGUUGCGUCGCGAACUGGUUUCCUUGAGUGGGUACGACGGAGGCGGAAUUCGUGGUGUAGCGGUGAAAUGCUUAGAUAUCACGAAGAACCCCGAUUGCGAAGGCAGCCUCCGAGUCCUCAACUGACGCUAAUGCUCGAAAGUGCGGGUAUCGAACAGGAUUAGAUACCCUGGUAGUCC
This 462-nucleotide ribosomal RNA is filed under the name uncultured bacterium. Its description in RNAcentral is "bacterial SSU rRNA". It matches the Rfam family "Bacterial small subunit ribosomal RNA", at positions 337 to 796 of the family's 1533-position model. The record is from RNAcentral.